RNAcentral lists this ribosomal RNA (200 nucleotides) under uncultured eukaryote. RNAcentral describes it as "partial 18S ribosomal RNA". It matches the Rfam family "Eukaryotic small subunit ribosomal RNA", at positions 588 to 798 of the family's 1831-position model. The record is from RNAcentral.
GCUCUAAUAGUGUAUAUUAAAGUUGUUGCAGUUAAAAAGCUCGUAGUUGAAUGUUGGUGUCGAACGAGCGGUCAGCUUCGGUUGUACUGCUCUCUCGACUCCUUCCUUCUGUGGACUACGUCGCACUUCACUGUGUGGCGCUAGGACGCAGAUCGUUUACUGUGAAAAAAUUAGAGUGUUCAAGCAGGCCGUACGCUUGA